Silurus meridionalis is the source of this 359-nucleotide long non-coding RNA. RefSeq lists it as uncharacterized. The transcript is spliced from 3 exons. The record is from RefSeq and is a predicted model, not a curated record. NCBI's taxonomy places the organism in Eukaryota, Metazoa, Chordata, Actinopteri, Siluriformes, Siluridae.
UAAAGAUAAGACACUAUACAGUGCAUUUGAAGAAAUAACAUUCACUUGUUUUAAGAAGAAAAAGCAGCACCAGCAACUCCCCAUAACUGUGUUCAUCACUCGGAAGAAGACACCAGACACUACGCCUUUAGCGACAACAGAAGUUAUGGACGAGGGUGAAGAUACUGCACCACCUGAUGAAGAGCUGUAAUGCUCUUCUUGGGUAUGCAGUACAUUCAUUUCAUCACCUUCAUCAUCAUUAGUACUGCACACUUAAUUCAUCAUCAUCUUCAUCAUUCAAGUUGUACCUUCACUGAGAGGACCUUUGGCUGAUCCUGAACACUUGGCUGUUGCAAACAAGAACAGAGCAAACACCGUAC